GCCCGACCAUCCUCACCGACAGACGCUUCUCGGCAUAACGCUCAAGACUUUGGCGAAAGUGCCAUUUCGCGAGUUUGCCACUUCGCAAAGUGCCCAUUAACCGUCGCGAGAAGCUCGAGAUUUGUCCUUUCUACGGUUAUCGGGGGUAUUUUCGAAAUGUGAAGUGGACACGGAGAACUUUUGUGAAAUUUCCGUAAGAUCUUGAGGUUUUUCAAUUUUUUUUAUUCGGUUUCUACUUUCGAGCCGGUGGAUUUCAUUUAUGUGGUAAAAUGUCCAUGUGCUCCCUGAUGCCGGUGUCGCUGCAGGAUAUUUUGACAAUUUUGCGAAUCUACUAACGGAGCGUUUUUGCAUCAAUAUUUUUCCACGCUGUAUAAACGUCCAGGAAUAACACAUGCAAAAAAUGUAUGAAG
Cephus cinctus (wheat stem sawfly) is the source of this 410-nucleotide long non-coding RNA. RefSeq lists it as uncharacterized. The transcript has 3 exons. The record is from RefSeq and is a predicted model, not a curated record. Lineage: Eukaryota; Metazoa; Arthropoda; Insecta; Hymenoptera; Cephidae.